This 89-nucleotide transfer RNA is filed under the name Deltaproteobacteria bacterium. Its description in RNAcentral is "tRNA-Ser". It matches the Rfam family "tRNA". From Rfam's summary of the family: Transfer RNA (tRNA) molecules are approximately 80 nucleotides in length. Lineage: Bacteria; Pseudomonadati; Myxococcota; Myxococcia. The record is from RNAcentral.
GGAAAGGUGGCCGAGUGGUUGAAGGCGACAGUCUCGAAAACUGUUUUAGCGUUCCGCUAACGAGGGUUCGAAUCCCUCCCUUUCCGCCA